Molecule: ribosomal RNA, 253 nt
Filed under: uncultured prokaryote
Description: partial 16S ribosomal RNA
Rfam family: Bacterial small subunit ribosomal RNA
Source: RNAcentral
UACGGAGGGUGCGAGCGUUAAUCGGAAUUACUGGGCGUAAAGCGCACGUAGGUGGUUGCGUAAGUCGGAUGUGAAAGCCCCGGGCUUAACCUGGGAAUUGCAUUCGAUACUGCGUAACUAGAGUUCGGAAGAGGGAAGUGGAAUUCCAGGUGUAGCGGUGAAAUGCGUAGAUAUCUGGAGGAACAUCAGUGGCGAAGGCGACUUCCUGGUCCGAAACUGACACUGAGGUGCGAAAGCGUGGGGAGCAAACAGG